Molecule: long non-coding RNA, 212 nt
Filed under: Brassica napus (rape)
Lineage: Eukaryota; Viridiplantae; Streptophyta; Magnoliopsida; Brassicales; Brassicaceae
Description: long non-coding RNA (BNAP_LNC008920)
Source: RNAcentral
GGUCGGGUUUGAGUACAUGUUCGAAUAAAAUGCCUAUGCGUAGUUACAAGUUUAUUGAUGGCAGAACCAGAGAUGGUGGUUACAUUUCAUUUGAAGUUUCAAUAUGAACUCUGGCGACAAGUUUUUGAAACUAAAAAACAGGACAUAUUGUCCUUACUUCUUUGCAGGGUUUCCUCUGUCCAGACUUCUUCUUGGGCUUGCUGUAACCACUC